RNAcentral lists this ribosomal RNA (255 nucleotides) under uncultured bacterium. RNAcentral describes it as "partial 16S ribosomal RNA". It matches the Rfam family "Bacterial small subunit ribosomal RNA", at positions 524 to 776 of the family's 1533-position model. The record is from RNAcentral.
UACGGAGGGUGCGAGCGUUAAUCGGAAUUACUGGGCGUAAAGCGUGCGUAGGUGGUUGAAUAAGUUAUCUGUGAAAUCCCUGGGCUUAACCUGGGCAGGUCAGAUGAUACUGUUUAACUCGAGUAUGGGAGAGGGUAGUGGAAUUUCCGGUGUAGCGGUGAAAUGCGUAGAGAUCGGAAGGAACACCAGUGGCGAAGGCGGCUACCUGGCCGUAAUACUGACACUGAGGCACGGAAAGCGUGGGGAGCAAACAGG